Molecule: long non-coding RNA, 641 nt
Filed under: Chinchilla lanigera (long-tailed chinchilla)
Lineage: Eukaryota; Metazoa; Chordata; Mammalia; Rodentia; Chinchillidae
Description: lncRNA (ENSCLAG00000025702.1)
Source: RNAcentral
AUUCGACACAGGAUAUAUUUGACAGGGUGGGAGACAAAUCUCAGAAAAAAAUACAACAGCAUGAUGCCUUCAGUAUCCCAGUUGUCUAGGAGAUACCCUAGUGUAUUCCUUUUAAAAUGAAGAAAUCUUGUAGCUACAAAUUGCAACACUUGUGAGUUCUUUGUUGCUAGAAGAAGAUGCUUGGUGGUGUGGACUGCUCUGACCAACCAGCUGUCCCAAGGGUCUGAACUUGAUGGCUGCAACAGCAACAAACAAGGUUCUCAAGUUGCAACUCUUUCCAGCUCUAAGCUGCCUGUAAAUUAAAGACCAUGUGGUAAGGAUUCAGCAAGACCAGAAGUUGUCACAAGAACUUUCCAUGUGUUGGACACAAACAGGAUUUGUCAUCUGCAGCCACAGAAGUGGUUCUCUGCUCUUGAAACGCUUGGAUAAGAUGCCUCUGGAGCAGAGAAGAGACGGAGGGACAUCCAAGGAGUAGACCAAGAAGGGAGGUUAAUUACUUAAUUUUCUAACUCAUUUCUAUGCGGUGUAAGAUUGUUGUCUUCUUGUCAGCUUAUUUAUGUUCAUCCAAUUAAUCUGAUUUCAACUGUCACCAAAUAAAAUGCAGCAUAUGUUUCAAUAUGUGGUACUCAAGCCUACUUUAC